RNAcentral lists this ribosomal RNA (388 nucleotides) under uncultured bacterium. Its description in RNAcentral is "bacterial SSU rRNA". It matches the Rfam family "Bacterial small subunit ribosomal RNA", at positions 28 to 417 of the family's 1533-position model. The record is from RNAcentral.
GACGAACGCUGGCGGCGUGCUUAACACAUGCAAGUCGAGCGGUAAGGCCCUUUCGGGGGUACACGAGCGGCGAACGGGUGAGUAACACGUGGGUGACCUGCCUCUAGCUCUGGGAUAAGCCCGGGAAACUGGGUCUAAUACUGGAUAUGACUCCAUGACGCAUGUUGUGGGGUGGAAAGCCUUGUGCGGCUAGAGAUGGGCCCGCGGCCUAUCAGCUUGUUGGUGGGGUGANGGCCUACCAAGGCGACGACGGGUAGCCGGCCUGAGAGGGCGACCGGCCACACUGGGACUGAGACACGGCCCAGACUCCUACGGGAGGCAGCAGUGGGGAAUCUUGCGCAAUGGGCGAAAGCCUGACGCAGCGACGCCGCGUGAGGGAUGACGGCCU